Molecule: ribosomal RNA, 497 nt
Filed under: uncultured bacterium
Lineage: Bacteria
Description: partial 16S ribosomal RNA
Rfam family: Bacterial small subunit ribosomal RNA
Source: RNAcentral
GAUGAACGCUGGCGGCGUGCCUAAUACAUGCAAGUCGAGCGAACAGACGAGGAGCUUGCUCCUCUGACGUUAGCGGCGGACGGGUGAGUAACACGUGGAUAACCUACCUAUAAGACUGGGAUAACUUCGGGAAACCGGAGCUAAUACCGGAUAAUAUAUUGAACCGCAUGGUUCAAUAGUGAAAGACGGUUUUGCUGUCACUUAUAGAUGGAUCCGCGCCGCAUUAGCUAGUUGGUAAGGUAACGGCUUACCAAGGCAACGAUGCGUAGCCGACCUGAGAGGGUGAGCGGCCAAACUGGAAGUGAGACACGGUCCAGACUCCUACGGGAGGCAGCAGUAGGGAAUCUUACGAAAUGGGCGAAAGCCUGACGGAGCAACGCCGCGUGAGUGAUGAAGGUCUUCGGAUCGUAAAACUCUGUUAUUAGGGAAGAACAAAUGUGUAAGUAACUAUGCACGUCUUGACGGUACCUAAUCAGAAAGCCACGGCUAACUACGUG